GAGUUUGAUCAUGGCUCAGAUUGAACGCUGGCGGCAUGCCUAACACAUGCAAGUCGAACGGGAGUAGCAAUACUCUAGUGGCGGACGGGUGAGGAAUACGUAGGAAUUUGCCCUUAAGUGGGGGAUAACCCGGGGAAACCCGGAUUAAUACCGCAUGAUCUCGAAAGAGCAAAGUGGGGGAUCGCAAGACCUUGCGCGGACGGAGCGGCCGAUGGCAGAUUAGGUAGUUGGUGAGGUAAAGGCUCACCAAGCCUUCGAUCUGUAGCUGGUCUGAGAGGACGACCAGCCACACUGGGACUGAGACACGGCCCAGACUCCUACGGGAGGCAGCAGUGGGGAAUUUUGGACAAUGGGCGCAAGCCUGAUCCAGCCAUGCCGCGUGCAGGAUGAAGGCCUUCGGGUUGUAAACUGCUUUUGUACGGAACGAAAAGGUUCUCUCUAAUACAGGGAGCUCAUGACGGUACCGUAAGAAUAAGCACCGGCUAACUACGUGCCAGCAGCCGCGGUAAUACG
RNAcentral lists this ribosomal RNA (513 nucleotides) under uncultured eubacterium WR159. RNAcentral describes it as "bacterial SSU rRNA". It matches the Rfam family "Bacterial small subunit ribosomal RNA", at positions 9 to 527 of the family's 1533-position model. The record is from RNAcentral.